UACAGAGGUCCCAAGCGUUGUUCGGAUUUACUGGGCGUAAAGGGUGCGUAGGUGGUCGGGUAAGUCUGAUGUGAAAUCUCCGAGCUCAACUCGGAAAUGGCAUUGGAUACUAUUCGGCUGGAGGGUUGGAGGGGGGACUGGAAUACUUGGUGUAGCAGUGAAAUGCGUAGAUAUCAAGUGGAACACCAGUGGCGAAGGCGAGUCCCUGGACAACUCCUGACACUGAGGCACGAAAGCUAGGGGAGCAAACAGG
Molecule: ribosomal RNA, 253 nt
Filed under: uncultured bacterium
Lineage: Bacteria
Description: partial 16S ribosomal RNA
Rfam family: Bacterial small subunit ribosomal RNA
Source: RNAcentral